This is a long non-coding RNA of Zophobas morio, 1576 nucleotides long. RefSeq lists it as uncharacterized. The transcript is spliced from 7 exons. NCBI's taxonomy places the organism in Eukaryota, Metazoa, Arthropoda, Insecta, Coleoptera, Tenebrionidae. The record is from RefSeq and is a predicted model, not a curated record.
AAAACAUUUGGUACUUUAAUAAUUAUAGCUACCUUCCAGUACUAGAAAAACCCAGCACUGAUUAUUAUAGGUUGGACACUGUGGCUUCGGUUUCGCUAAAUGAUGCUGGCAAUAAUCUUUGAGCUUUUCUUUAUUUCAAAGACCAUUUAUUUAGGUCUCCUUCAUCGACCUUCCUUUCAGUUACAAUAGGUUUAUAUAGAAUCUCUUGAUAGUAACGACCGCAACGAAUCGAAGAAUUUGAUACUAAACCAACUUUAUCUUUCCAAAUGGGCUUUAAAAAAUCUUCCUUCGCUUGCGUCUCAUCGCAGUCAGUACGCGAAAAUUCAGCUCCAGAGAGUUUUAAAUAACUCUGGACCGACAGUGAAACUGUCAAUAGUUCCAGUACGAAAGGAUUAUGGUCCGAGUUUAUGAAAAUUAGCAAUAGUAGCUAAUGGAUAUUCGUGGGUUUAGAGGUCCAACCACAGUCAAAUGAUACGGUAACUCAUAAUUUUUUAAGUAGCUCCCGGCCUCAUUUUAAAUAUAAAGUUGACUUACCCGCAAAAAAAAAAGGUACAGAAAAAUUAACUUUAUACGCUUUAAACUUGUCGCCUUUCAGGUAAUUGUAGUAACACCGUCCAUAUGUUUGCCUCUGUCAUUGCAAUAUUUACUUUAUUUACUUUAUGACAGUUGUUUGUCUGGGUUUCACAUGUUAAAGCUAUAUUAAUAUCUUCUUUCGUAACAAAUUUUCGAAACUCAGGUAGUUACUUGUAUAGACCGAACGCAUUUCAAUAGAGUAUUUGCAAAGUCAUAUAAGCUCAAUUCUUGGUUAAUACUACUAGAUGGGGAUUAUAUUAUUUUGUUUUUGCCAUUUCUUCAGCUUACAUUAAGAUCGGGGGAGGCUUUUUUACAACAUCCGCGUACGAUAAAAUAUGAUUAUAUAAGCGUUAUAGUGCUACCACUGUUCACCUUUAUUUUGUUACUAAUUUUCUCGGGAAGCAGGCGACCUUGACAGAUCGCUCGAUCAUUUUAUUGUAAUUAGCACAGAACAUGAUGCGUGUUUCAAGUUAAAAAUAUUUAAAUCAAUAAUGCUCUUCUCCGCAACUGACGCAACUUGGCGCGACAGUUUCCUUGGAUGGGCCGUAAAGUUCACAUCGAUAGCAUUAACUUAAAUAAUUUUUUUGAAGCACUGACUUUAACUCUGCAGACAGUUGACGUAUCGUAAAUUUCUUAUCUGAUUUUGGAAUUAUAACUGGGACAAGGGGGCGUACUUAGUGCAGAGAGGGACGUACCUUUGUAGGAUUAAAAUUCUGUCCUUUUAAAUCCUCUAUACUCAUACAAGUCUAAUUCCGUCAAUAACUUCUGAUAAUUUUGAGGCAUCUAUCAUCUGGAAGUUUGUAGGUAAAAUUACCACAGUAUAAAGAGAAAAUAAUAUUUUCUUAUUUUGUCGUAAUGGUCUAAAGUUUUUAUAUAUUUGAGGCCGGGCAUAACAUUGACAGCCAUUAAAAACAUUUAUUAAAUAUUAAUAACUUUCUUUAUAGCUUGAGAUAUAAGUCUUCUAUUCGCACAAAUAUUGGCUGCAUUCUAUAUUUAAUUCACU